Molecule: ribosomal RNA, 253 nt
Filed under: uncultured bacterium
Lineage: Bacteria
Description: partial 16S ribosomal RNA
Rfam family: Bacterial small subunit ribosomal RNA
Source: RNAcentral
UACGUAGGGUGCAAGCGUUGUCCGGAAUUAUUGGGCGUAAAGAGCUCGUAGGCGGUUUGUCACGUCGGAUGUGAAACCCUGAGGCUCAACCUCAGGCCUGCAUUCGAUACGGGCAGACUAGAAUUCGGCAGGGGAGACUGGAAUUCCUGGUGUAGCGGUGAAAUGCGCAGAUAUCAGGAGGAACACCAAUGGCGAAGGCAGCACUCUGGGACGUGACUGACGCUGAGACGCGAAAGCGUGGGGAGCAAACAGG